This 1252-nucleotide long non-coding RNA is filed under the name Androctonus crassicauda. The record is from RNAcentral. Lineage: Eukaryota; Metazoa; Arthropoda; Arachnida; Scorpiones; Buthidae.
AAAUUAUGUAGAUAAACCGUUACAUUAAACUAAAAUAAAUAUAUUUUAAUCUAUAAACCCAGUUUUCUUAAUUCAUCAAUUUAUAUCAUAGCCAUCAUCUUGACUCUGCUUUACAUCAACAACUUGAUGGCUAGUCAAAGAGACAUGUUAAUUGUUAUACCUUUAUUCUUAGCAGCACUCAUGUUGAGAUAUAAGAUAAAUUACAUCAUUAGCAAUCAAAUACUUGAAGGUGAGAGAUCAUCUGAAGUACUUAUUUUUCACUGAUGAUCUGACUGCUUCAUUUAAUUGACCAUUGACCAUUUAUAUAGUUUAUUUGCCUUUGAGGUUUUUUUCAUCCUCAGGAUAAGAGAGUGCCCUAGAACAAAGAUGAGCAUUGGAGUCAAAAGCUUAUCCUGGCUUUCACUUAGUCCCCUCCUCUAUUAGCCACCAAUAGGUGUUGCUCACUCUCCACUAGAGAUGUUGAUCUCUUGCAUGUAAGUAUAGAUAGAGGUCAUUGAUUUUAAGACCAGAUGAUAUUUCAAUAAAUUUUUCAGUAGUUUUAGAGAGCUAACAGAAAAGAAUAGUCAGCUAUAUCCAGGCUUAAAACAGGACACACAAAAUCACUCACUUUCAUUAACAAUAUCAGAAACUUGCCCAAUUGUAUCAACUGCAAAUCUCUUAUGAUUCCAAAUCAGAUCUUUCAAAUAAUCUUCAAUCUAGAGCACAUUGAAGAAUGUGCUCUAGAUUGGUAAUUACUUGAAAGAUCUGACUUUAUCAUUUAAAAAUGGGAGGACACUGCACUCAUGGACAUUGGAUAAGAAACAUCACCACCACUAUCACCACUAGUAUUCUUUAUAAUAUAGGAUGCACUCUUCUUCCUUUUAUAGCAACACACAUUUUAUCUUUCAUUUACUAUAUCUAGUAUGAAAUAGGUAUUCCAUAGAUACUUUUGCUCAUGUAUUUUCUAUUAGUUAAAAAUAAUUAUGAAAUUUCUCUUAACUUCCAUAUUUUACUUUUUUCUUAAGGAAAUUGUAUUUCAAUUUGAAUCUUUUUGCUAUGUAUUGCAUUUUUGGAGAAUGCAUUCUCGAUAUGAAGUGGGAUCUGGGUGUAUAGCAUUUAUUAUUAUUAUUAUUUUAAAUUAUGUAAUUCUUCAAAUAUCAAUAAUUUUAAGAAAUAUCUAUAAGUGUAGGUAUUUUCAUUUGUUAUUUUUUUAAUAUUCAUUAUGCAGUCUAAAACCUAUUAAAUUUUCUGAAGGAUAACUGAGAUUUUCCAC